This 282-nucleotide long non-coding RNA is filed under the name Helianthus annuus (common sunflower). RNAcentral describes it as "hypothetical non coding rna". Lineage: Eukaryota; Viridiplantae; Streptophyta; Magnoliopsida; Asterales; Asteraceae. The record is from RNAcentral.
GGUGAUGAAGUGAUCCUAUCCUCAGUCCUCUCUCUCGGUGACCUUCAACUUCCACUGAGGACGGUGAAUGAGUCGGGGACAAAUUUACGAUACUGUUAGAAGCUUCAUUUGGAUCGAUUACAGAUAUGUCAAAGAAAUGUGAAAACGACAACGCUGAUUGUAACAGUUGGGGACAAAUUGAUCGAAGGAUCACGACUGGCGUUUGCGUUAUGGAAAAGAAUGCGGCCUGGAGGCUCUGUUCCUUUUGCUUUUGAUUGUAUUCUGUAUGAAUCUGUUAGGUAG